AGUGGAAAUGCUACUUGUAAAACCAUCCUUAGCUCCAGGAUCGUAGAGCUAUCACUGAGACAAUUGCGCAGUGAGUGACAAGAGAGAUAAGCGGAGAAUGUGAGCCAUCUAUGAGACAGAGGACAACUUCAAUAAAAAACACCAGGUCAGCGGAUAAGACCAUGUCACUCACAGGUUUGUGACUUGAGGCCUGAGCACCAAUGAUCCACUCCACAUCAGUGGAGAAUGUUGGAAAGUAAGGACGCUGUGGACAUUUUCUGAAGUUGGAGAAAUGGAAUGGUGGAGAAGCCAGUAUUGGGGUACCAUGAGUGGAGCAGAGUUGACUACAAAUCUCAAUAAAGCUUUUCAACUGUA
Molecule: long non-coding RNA, 354 nt
Filed under: Homo sapiens (human)
Lineage: Eukaryota; Metazoa; Chordata; Mammalia; Primates; Hominidae
Description: non-protein coding lnc-SNW1-3:1
Source: RNAcentral